CGUGGUUCUCAGUUGAUGCACCCUGGAAUCGGGCUCCUUCCUCUCUAGUUCUGGGUGUAUCACCCAAGAACAGCA
Molecule: non-coding RNA, 75 nt
Organism: Myotis brandtii (Brandt's bat)
Lineage: Eukaryota; Metazoa; Chordata; Mammalia; Chiroptera; Vespertilionidae
Source: Rfam